CACGUGUUACAAUGGCAGGUACAGAGGGGUGCUACCGGGUGACCGGAUGCCGAUCUCGAAAACCUGUCCCAGUUCGGACUGGAGUCUGCAACCCGACUCCACGAAGUUGGAUUCGCUAGUAAUCGCGCAUCAGCCAUGGCGCGGUGAAUACGUUCCCGGGCCUUGUACACACCGCCCGUCAAGCCAUGGGAGCCGGGGGCGCCUGAAGUCCGGGACCGCGAGGACCGGCCUAAGGCGAAACUGGUGACUGGGGCUAAGUCGUAACAAGGUACC
RNAcentral lists this ribosomal RNA (273 nucleotides) under uncultured bacterium. RNAcentral describes it as "partial 16S ribosomal RNA". It matches the Rfam family "Bacterial small subunit ribosomal RNA", at positions 1219 to 1500 of the family's 1533-position model. The record is from RNAcentral.